Long non-coding RNA from Nicotiana tabacum (common tobacco), 1066 nucleotides. RefSeq lists it as uncharacterized. Lineage: Eukaryota; Viridiplantae; Streptophyta; Magnoliopsida; Solanales; Solanaceae. The record is from RefSeq and is a predicted model, not a curated record.
UUCUAUUGCAGAUAUUAUGUCACACCAUUUGGUGAAGCUUCGGUAGAACGGUAGCACUACCGUUUCAAUUUUUUUUUGAAAUUCAAAAUCACUAAAGUAUAUCUCUUUUGGAUUUCAAAUUUUCAUUUAAUUACAAUGAAUUCUCGCCUCAAAUCUAGUGCCAAGAAGUCUAAAUUGGAAUCUUUUCUCUCUUUGCUCACAUGGAGUUUCUCCAUUUUUUCUUUUUCUUGCUGCACAACAUCCCAACCAUUUUGGGUAUUAAUUUGAAACAAAUCUGCUCAAAGUCUCAAGCAAAUCUGAAACAAAUUUACUCAAAUAUCGCUCAUUAAAUUAUGAACGUAUUUUACUGUUCGAAACCUCACGCUCUUAAUUUCAAACGUUAGAGGUAAAAAUCCCGCCCAUGAACCCUACUUCUUCACCUAUAAAUACUUGCAUUUGAAAUAUACUGGAAAAAGAGCUUUUGGAGCUGUUGCACCUCUCUUUAAACCCACAAGCUUCGGCCCCCUUCUUUAACCUUAAGCCCUAGAGCCGCCCACUUUCACCCUAAAGUCGAGAGUUUUCAGCCACCUCUGUUAGUGCAUUUCCUUUCCUCUAAUUAAAAAACAAAGUUCUCUAGCUCUCUUUGUAUUUUUAGCCAUUACAAUGGUUUAUUUGCUUAUUCCGGUGACUAACAAUCGUCUAAGGUAGCGAGUUCGAGGUCGGAGUUCGAUAUUGCAUCUAAGACCCGUCUCAGUUUGCUGUCUUGUAAAAGUACACUUUGAAGCAUAAUGGAGUCUUAAUGCUAGACUCCAAUACCCGCAUAUGGAGUCUUCGAGACUCGUAAAGAUGGAGUCUCAUCACCACCAGAUAGAGUCAAUACACGACAUAUAUCCUUAGAAUGUACUGGAUAGCAGAAAAACAAGCGAAACGCUUGGGGGCGCCUAUGACGUCCUUCUUUUUGUUCCUACCACUUAUUUUAUCUUAAUAUUUGUAAUUUUCGAUUUGCUUUUUUUGUGUUUUCUUAAUUUUUAAAAUUUUAUGUUGGAGCCUAUUAUUAUUAUAUAAGAAAUAGCUGAGUUUUAUUUAA